CAAGCAGAAGAGAGCCUACAAGUUUCAAGAUGGUGCCAAGGUUCAAGCAAAGGUCUUCAGUUGUGGAGGCGAUUAUCUUGAGGUCUUCAAGAGUGCACAGAUGCUAAAGAAGAUUGGUAUCGACGAUGGAGGUUUGCAUAGGGAGCUAUCAAGGUGCGCAAUAGCAGUAGGGAGAGCCAGGGGUGUCUCAGAAAGGCUGAAGAGCAGGUCUUAGGGAGAGCCAGGGGUAUCUCAGGG
Molecule: long non-coding RNA, 237 nt
Filed under: Elaeis guineensis (African oil palm)
Lineage: Eukaryota; Viridiplantae; Streptophyta; Magnoliopsida; Arecales; Arecaceae
Description: long non-coding RNA (EGUI_LNC059448)
Source: RNAcentral